Molecule: ribosomal RNA, 227 nt
Filed under: uncultured bacterium
Lineage: Bacteria
Description: partial 16S ribosomal RNA
Rfam family: Bacterial small subunit ribosomal RNA
Source: RNAcentral
AGUAACGCGUGAGGAACCUGCCUCAAAGAGGGGGACAACAGUUGGAAACGACUGCUAAUACCGCAUAAGCCCACGGCUCGGCAUCGAGCAGAGGGAAAAGGAGCAAUCCGCUUUGAGAUGGCCUCGCGUCCGAUUAGCUAGUUGGUGAGGUAAUGGCCCACCAAGGCGACGAUCGGUAGCCGGACUGAGAGGUUGAACGGCCACAUUGGGACUGAGACACGGUCCAG